This 74-nucleotide transfer RNA is filed under the name Daphnia pulicaria. Its description in RNAcentral is "tRNA-Asn". It matches the Rfam family "tRNA". From Rfam's summary of the family: Transfer RNA (tRNA) molecules are approximately 80 nucleotides in length. Their secondary structure includes four short double-helical elements and three loops (D, anti-codon, and T loops). Further hydrogen bonds mediate the characteristic L-shaped molecular structure. tRNAs have two regions of fundamental functional importance: the anti-codon, which is responsible for specific mRNA codon recognition, and the 3' end, to which the tRNAs corresponding amino acid is attached (by aminoacyl-tRNA synthetases). tRNAs cope with the degeneracy of the genetic code in two manners: having more than one tRNA (with a specific anti-codon) for a particular amino acid; and 'wobble' base-pairing, i.e. permitting non-standard base-pairing at the 3rd anti-codon position. The record is from RNAcentral. Lineage: Eukaryota; Metazoa; Arthropoda; Branchiopoda; Diplostraca; Daphniidae.
GCCUCUGUGGUGCAAUUGGCUAGCGCGUUCGGCUGUUAACCGGAAGGCUGGUGGUUCGACCCCACCCGGGGGCG